This 437-nucleotide ribosomal RNA is filed under the name uncultured bacterium. Its description in RNAcentral is "partial 16S ribosomal RNA". It matches the Rfam family "Bacterial small subunit ribosomal RNA", at positions 29 to 507 of the family's 1533-position model. The record is from RNAcentral.
AGCGAACGCUGGCGGCAGGCUUAACACAUGCAAGUCGAGCGGGCAUCCUUGUGGUGUCAGCGGCAGACGGGUGAGUAACGCGUGGGAACGUGCCCUUCGGUUCGGAAUAACUCAGGGAAACUUGAGCUAAUACCGGAUACGAGCGAGAGCAGAAAGGUUUAUCUGCCGAAGGAUCGGCCCGCGUCUGAUUAGCUAGUUGGUGAGGUUAUGGCUCACCAAGGCGACGAUCAGUAGCUGGUCUGAGAGGAUGAUCAGCCACACUGGGACUGAGACACGGCCCAGACUCCUACGGGAGGCAGCAGUGGGGAAUAUUGGACAAUGGGGGCAACCCUGAUCCAGCCAUGCCGCGUGAGUGAUGACGGCCUUAGGGUUGUAAAGCUCUUUUCUCCGGGACGAUAAUGACGGUACCGGAGGAAUAAGCCCCGGCUAACUUCGUG